UACGUAGGGUGCGAGCGUUGUCCGGAAUUAUUGGGCGUAAAGGGCUCGUAGGCGGUUUGUCGCGUCGGGAGUGAAAACCCAGGGCUUAACCCUGGGCUGGCUUCCGAUACGGGCAGACUAGAGGUAUGCAGGGGAGAACGGAAUUCCUGGUGUAGCGGUGAAAUGCGCAGAUAUCAGGAGGAACACCGGUGGCGAAGGCGGGUCUCUGGGCCGAUACUGACGCUGAGGCACGAAAGCGUGGGGAGCAAACAGG
RNAcentral lists this ribosomal RNA (253 nucleotides) under uncultured bacterium. RNAcentral's name for it is "partial 16S ribosomal RNA". It matches the Rfam family "Bacterial small subunit ribosomal RNA", at positions 524 to 776 of the family's 1533-position model. The record is from RNAcentral.